This 28-nucleotide non-coding RNA is filed under the name Bombyx mori (domestic silkworm). Lineage: Eukaryota; Metazoa; Arthropoda; Insecta; Lepidoptera; Bombycidae. The record is from RNAcentral.
UUCCGAUAAGUCGUAAAGUGUAGUCAGG